CAGUAGCCACGGUAAUACGUAGGGCGCAAGCGUUGUCCGGAAUUAUUGGGCGUAAAGAGCUCGUAGGCGGUCUGUCGCGUCUGGUGUGAAAUCCCGAGGCUCAACCUCGGGCUUGCAUCGGGUACGGGCAGACUAGAGUGCGGUAGGGGAGACUGGAAUUCCUGGUGUAGCGGUGGAAUGCGCAGAUAUCAGGAGGAACACCGAUGGCGAAGGCAGGUCUCUGGGCCGCAACUGACGCUGAGGAGCGAAAGCAUGGGGAGCGAACAGGAUUAGAUACCCCAGUAGUCCCUGUCUCUUAUAC
Molecule: ribosomal RNA, 301 nt
Filed under: uncultured bacterium
Lineage: Bacteria
Description: partial 16S ribosomal RNA
Rfam family: Bacterial small subunit ribosomal RNA
Source: RNAcentral